Molecule: ribosomal RNA, 508 nt
Filed under: uncultured bacterium
Lineage: Bacteria
Description: partial 16S ribosomal RNA
Rfam family: Bacterial small subunit ribosomal RNA
Source: RNAcentral
AUUGAACGCUGGCGGCAGGCCUAACACAUGCAAGUCGAGCGGCAGCGGGUAGAAAGCUUGCUUUCUGUGCCGGCGAGCGGCGGACGGGUGAGUAAUACCUAGGAAUCUGUCCAUUAGUGGGGAAUAACCAGCCGAAAGGUUGGCUAAUACCGCAUACGCCCUACGGGGGAAAGGGGGGGAUCUUCGGACCUCUCGCUAAUGGGGGAGCCUAGGCCGGAUUAGCUAGUUGGUAGGGUAAAGGCCUACCAAGGCGACGAUCCGUCGUUGGUCUGAGAGGAUGACCAGCCACACUGGGACUGAGACACGGCCCAGACUCCUACGGGAGGCAGCAGUGGGGAAUAUUGCACAAUGGGCGAAAGCCUGAUGCAGCCAUGCCGCGUGUGUGAAGAAGGCCUUCGGGUUGUAAAGCACUUUAGGCGGGGAGGAAAAGCUAACGAUUAAUACUUGUUAGCCGUGACGUUACCCGCAGAAUAAGCACCGGCUAACUCCGUGCCAGCCGCCGCCGUAA